UAAAACUAUUGGCAUGGCCCAACAAAUCCUGUAACAUUACAGCAAGUUCAAAUCUGAACAAAGAUGAUAUUGUUGCAUCGCCAUCCAAAAAGCACAUUAUCUAACUUUGCGAAAAUUGUGCACACCACCAAAAAUUUAAGUCAGAUCACACAACUCUAGCCAUACAAAAACCCUUUUUUUUUUUUUUUCUUGAUAUCAAAUUCGAAAUCCUGUCCUGAGUUCUGCAUCAUGCCAUAUUCACUCCAGUCUUAAACUUUCUUUUAAGU
This 266-nucleotide unclassified non-coding RNA is filed under the name Hevea brasiliensis (rubber tree). The record is from RNAcentral. Lineage: Eukaryota; Viridiplantae; Streptophyta; Magnoliopsida; Malpighiales; Euphorbiaceae.